RNAcentral lists this long non-coding RNA (454 nucleotides) under Homo sapiens (human). RNAcentral's name for it is "HSALNT0215111". Lineage: Eukaryota; Metazoa; Chordata; Mammalia; Primates; Hominidae. The record is from RNAcentral.
UCUGAAUAUUUGUGUCGCCCCAAAGUUGAAAUAUUGAAACCUAACCCCCAAUGUGAUGGUAUAAGGAGGUGGGGCCUUUGGGAGGUGAUUAAGUCAUGAGGCUGGCACUUUCAUGGAUGGGAUUUGUACCCUUAUAAAAGAGGCAGGAGGGAGUUUGUUCGCCCCUUCAGCCAUGUGAAGACACAAAUGGAAGAUGUCAACUAUGAGCAGAGAGCCCUCACUGGACACCAGAUCUGCUAGCACGUUGAUCUUGGACUUCUCAGCCUCCAGAAUUGUGAGCAAUAAAUUUCUGUUGUUUAUAAAUUAUCCAGUCCAAGGUAUUUCAUGAUGGCAGCACAGAUGGACUAAGAUACUUGCCAAGGGCAUCUAACAAGGGACAGCAUUUUAAUAAUGGCCUCAGUCUCCCCUUCUGUACAACGAGAAGCAGGAGAGAGAGUCAUCACAGUUCUUUCCA